RNAcentral lists this ribosomal RNA (254 nucleotides) under uncultured bacterium. RNAcentral describes it as "partial 16S ribosomal RNA". It matches the Rfam family "Bacterial small subunit ribosomal RNA", at positions 524 to 776 of the family's 1533-position model. The record is from RNAcentral.
UACGGGGGGGGCAAGCGUUGUUCGGAAUUAUUGGGCGUAAAGGGCGCGUAGGCGGUGCGGUAAGUCACCUGUGAAAUCUCCUGGCUCAACUGGGAGCUUGCAGGCGAAACUGCCGUGCUGGAGUGUGGGAGAGGUGCGUGGAAUUCCUGGUGUAGCGGUGAAAAUGCGUAGAUAUCAGGAGGAACACCUGUGGCGAAAAGCGGCGCACUGGACCACAACUGACUGAGGCGCGAAAGCUAGGGGGAGCAAACAGG